RNAcentral lists this ribosomal RNA (468 nucleotides) under uncultured bacterium. Its description in RNAcentral is "partial 16S ribosomal RNA". It matches the Rfam family "Bacterial small subunit ribosomal RNA", at positions 28 to 507 of the family's 1533-position model. The record is from RNAcentral.
GACGAACGCUGGCGGCGUGCUUAACACAUGCAAGUCGAACGAUGAAAGAGGAGCUUGCUCCUCUGGUUUAGUGGCGAACGGGUGUGUAACACGUGAGCCAUCUGCUCCUCACUCCGGUAUAACUACGGGAAACUGUCGAUAAUACCAGAUAUGCGCACAACAGGCAUCUGUAUCGGUGGGAAAGAAAUUCGGUCAGGGAGGGGCGCGCGGCCUAUCAGCUUGUUGGUGAGGUAACGGCCCACCACGCGGACGACGGGUACCCGGCCUGAGAGGGGGACCGGGCACAUUGGGACUGAGAGACGGCCCAGACUCCCAUGGGGGGCAGAAGUGGGGAAUAUAUCACAAUGGGGGCAAGACUGUUGCAGAGACGCCGCGUGUGGAAUGACGGCGUUUGGGGUGUAAACCCCUUUAAGCAGAGAAGAGGCGAAAAUGACGGUACCUGCAGAAAAAGCGCCGGCUAACUACGUG